GACGAACGCGGCGGCGUGCCUAAUACAUGCAAGUAGAACGCUGAAGGAAGGAGCUUGCUCUUUCUGGAUGAGUUGCGAACGGGUGAGUAACGCGUAGGUAACCUGCCUGGUAGCGGGGGAUAACUAUUGGAAACGAUAGCUAAUACCGCAUAAAAUGGAUUAUCGCAUGAUAAUUCAUUGAAAGGUGCAAAUGCAUCACUACCAGAUGGACCUGCGUUGUAUUAGCUAGUUGGUGGGGUAACGGCUCACCAAGGCGACGAUACAUAGCCGACCUGAGAGGGUGAUCGGCCACACUGGGACUGAGACACGGCCCAGACUCCUACGGGAGGCAGCAGUAGGGAAUCUUCGGCAAUGGACGGAAGUCUGACCGAGCAACGCCGCGUGAGUGAAGAAGGUUUUCGGGUGUAAAGCUUCUGUUGUAAGAGAAGAACGAGUGUGAGAGU
RNAcentral lists this ribosomal RNA (443 nucleotides) under Streptococcus sp. oral taxon 071. RNAcentral describes it as "bacterial SSU rRNA". It matches the Rfam family "Bacterial small subunit ribosomal RNA", at positions 28 to 462 of the family's 1533-position model. Lineage: Bacteria; Bacillati; Bacillota; Bacilli; Lactobacillales; Streptococcaceae. The record is from RNAcentral.